Molecule: ribosomal RNA, 253 nt
Filed under: uncultured bacterium
Lineage: Bacteria
Description: partial 16S ribosomal RNA
Rfam family: Bacterial small subunit ribosomal RNA
Source: RNAcentral
UACAGAGGGGGCAAGCGUUGUUCGGAAUUACUGGGCGUAAAGGGCGCGUAGGCGGCCUGCUAAGUCGAACGUGAAAUCCCUGGGCUCAACCCAGGAACUGCGUCCGAUACUGGUUGGCUUGAAUCCGGGAGAGGGAUGUGGAAUUCCAGGUGUAGCGGUGAAAUGCGUAGAUAUCUGGAGGAACACCGGUGGCGAAGGCGGCUCACUGGUCCGGUACUGACGCUGAGGUGCGAAAGCGUGGGGAGCAAACAGG